GGGGACAACAGCUAGAAAUGGCUGCUAAUACCGCAUAAGCCUACAGCCUCGCAUGAGGGAGUAGGAAAAGAAAUUCGGUGCAGGAUGAGUCCGCGUCCGAUUAGCUAGUUGGAGGGGUAAAGGCCCACCAAGGCAACGAUCAGUAGCCGGCCUGAGAGGGCGACCGGCCACAUUGGGACUGAGACACGGCCCAAACUCCUACGGGAGGCAGCAGUGGGGAAUAUUGCACAAUGGGGGAAACCCUGAUGCAGCGACGCCGCGUGAGCGAGGAAGUAUUUCGGUAUGUAAAGCUCUAUCAGCAGGGACGAAAAAAGACGGUACCUGACUAAGAAGCCCCGGCUAACUACGUGCCAGCAGCCGCGGUAAUACGUAGGGGGCAAGCGUUAUCCGGAUUUACUGGGUGUAAAGGGAGCGUAGACGGCAAGGCAAGCCAGAAGUGAAAGGGCAGGGCUCAACCCUGUACAUGCUUUUGGAACUGUGGUGCUAGAGUGCAGGAGAGGUAAGUGGAAUUCCUAGUGUAGCGGUGAAAUGCGUAGAUAUUAGGAGGAACACCAGUGGCGAAGGCGGCUUACUGGACUGUAACUGACGUUGAGGCUCGAAAGCGUGGGGAGCAAACAGGAUUAGAUACCCU
Molecule: ribosomal RNA, 631 nt
Filed under: uncultured bacterium
Lineage: Bacteria
Description: bacterial SSU rRNA
Rfam family: Bacterial small subunit ribosomal RNA
Source: RNAcentral